UACGAAGGGGGCUAGCGUUGCUCGGAUUGACUGGGCGUAAAGGGCGCGUAGGCGGUUCGUACAGUCAGACGUGAAAUUCCUGGGCUCAACCUGGGGGCUGCGUUUGAUACGUGCGGGCUUGAGUUCGGAAGAGGGUCGUGGAAUUCCCAGUGUAGAGGUGAAAUUCGUAGAUAUUGGGAAGAACACCGGUAGCGAAGGCGGCGACCUGGUCCGAUACUGACGCUGAGGCGCGAAAGCGUGGGGAGCAAACAGG
RNAcentral lists this ribosomal RNA (253 nucleotides) under uncultured bacterium. RNAcentral's name for it is "partial 16S ribosomal RNA". It matches the Rfam family "Bacterial small subunit ribosomal RNA", at positions 524 to 776 of the family's 1533-position model. The record is from RNAcentral.